AGUGAACGCUGGCGGCAGGCCUAACACAUGCAAGUCGAGCGGCAGCGCGGGGGGCAACCCUGGCGGCGAGCGGCGGACGGGUGAGGAAUGCAUCGGAAUCUACCUCGUUGUGGGGGAUAACGUAGGGAAACUUACGCUAAUACCGCAUACGACCUACGGGUGAAAGUGGGGGACCUUCGGGCCUCACGCGAUGAGAUGAGCCGAUGCCGGAUUAGCUAGUUGGCGGGGUAAAGGCCCACCAAGGCGACGAUCCGUAGCUGGUCUGAGAGGAUGAUCAGCCACACUGGAACUGAGACACGGUCCAGACUCCUACGGGAGGCAGCAGUGGGGAAUAUUGGACAAUGGGCGCAAGCCUGAUCCAGCCAUGCCGCGUGUGUGAAGAAGGCC
Molecule: ribosomal RNA, 387 nt
Filed under: uncultured bacterium
Lineage: Bacteria
Description: bacterial SSU rRNA
Rfam family: Bacterial small subunit ribosomal RNA
Source: RNAcentral